GGCGGCUACCCAACCCAAAGACUUCUAGGUUCUUCCAUUAUUUAGCUCUCCCAAUGGUUAAAAAGCAAUAAGCUCAUUUGGAGUUUAUAAAACUAUGCACCAUCAACAAAAGCAUGUAAUGCUUCCAAGAUGCACAGUGGCUUCUACAAGCACAAUGAGGAGCUGUGUGUAGUCUCUCCCCAAACAAAAAUGCCCAGGCCCCAAUUAAGCACCCUGGGGGCUUUCAAAGCAGUUAUGCUAAGUUGCAAAUACAGCAAGAUCCACUUGAACUCCAACUGUCUUGUGUGCUUUUCCUCCCAAGGUAGGGAAAAAGCCGGGGCAGACUGACCUCAUUAAAGGGUAAUUAGUGAACCCCAGGACUUGAGGGGCUACCACAAUCAUUGCUAUUGUGAGCAUUUCACUACAGGGCCACUAAUUUUUUCAUUUUUUUAACCCAGGAGGUCUCUGCAAUCUGAAGGCCCAACAUUUUAAAUUUUUAAGGAUUUCAAUCUGGCUGUUUUUUUCUACUACUAGUCAUUGAGUAAGA
This 526-nucleotide long non-coding RNA is filed under the name Homo sapiens (human). RNAcentral describes it as "non-protein coding lnc-CSNK1G3-5:1". Lineage: Eukaryota; Metazoa; Chordata; Mammalia; Primates; Hominidae. The record is from RNAcentral.